UUGGUGUAGUGUACUCAGGUGAAUAUGAUAUUUGUGGUGUUACUCUGAGUGUAUAUCCACACCGGGCGAGCUUGAAAAAUAUGCCCGGCCACGGUGGGAUUCGAACCUACGACCUUUGGAAUGCUAGCCCAAUGCUCUUCCUACUGAGCUACGCGGUCAGGACGGUUUGAGUAAGUGAUAUUUCGGAACAGAAUCUAGUUCCUUCGAUACCAAUGUAUUCUAGUAAUAUGAAUUUUUUUUUUUUCUGUGUUGGUGUAGUGUACUCAGGUGAAUAUGAUAUUUGUGGUGUUACUCUGAGUGUAUAUCCACACCGGGCGAGCUUGAAAAAUAUGCCCGGCCACGGUGGGAUUCGAACCUACGACCUUUGGAAUACUAGCCCAAUGCUCUUCCUACUGAGCUACGCGGUCAGGACGGUUCGAGUAAGUGAUAUUUCGGAACAGAAUCUAGUUCCUUCGAUACCAAUGUAUUCUAGUAAUAUGAAUUUUUUUUUUUCUGUGUUGGUGUAGUGUACUCAGGUGAAUAUGAUAUUUGUGGUGUUACUCUGAGUGUAUAUCCACACCGGGCGAGCUUGAAAAAUAUGCCCGGCCACGGUGGGAUUCGAACCUACGACCUUUGGAAUACUAGCCCAAUGCUCUUCCUACUGAGCUACGCGGUCAGGACGGUUCGAGUAAGUGAUAUUUCGGAACAGUAUCUAGUUCCUUC
Non-coding RNA from Paramuricea clavata, 702 nucleotides. Lineage: Eukaryota; Metazoa; Cnidaria; Anthozoa; Malacalcyonacea; Plexauridae. The record is from the annotation of a GenBank genome assembly.